This 507-nucleotide ribosomal RNA is filed under the name uncultured bacterium. RNAcentral's name for it is "partial 16S ribosomal RNA". It matches the Rfam family "Bacterial small subunit ribosomal RNA", at positions 28 to 507 of the family's 1533-position model. The record is from RNAcentral.
GACGAACUCUGGCGGCGUGCCUAAUACAUGCAAGUCGAACGCAUUUUCUUUCACUGUAGCUUGCUACACCGAGAGAAACUGAGUGGCGAACGGGGGAGUACCACGUGGGUAACCUGCCCAUCAUCGGGGGAUAACACUUGGAAACAGGUUCUAAUACCGCAUAAUUCCAUUUACCGCGUGGUAGAUAGACGAAAGGCGCUUUUGCGUCGCCGAAUGAUGGACCCGCGGGGCAUUAGCUAGUCGGUGGGGUAGCGGCCUACCAAGGCUGCGAUGCAUAGCCGCCCUGAGAGGGUGGUCGGCCGCACUGGGACUGAGACACGCCCCAGUGUCCUACGGGAGGCAGCAGUAGGGCAUCUUCGGCAAUGGACGCAAGUCUGACCGAGCUGCGCCGCGUGAGUGAAGAAGGAUUUCGGGUCGUAGAACUCUGUUGUUAGAGAAGAACAAGGAUGAGAGUGGAAAGAUCAUCCCUUGACGGUAUCUAGCAAGAAAGCCACGGCUAACUACGUG